This 253-nucleotide ribosomal RNA is filed under the name uncultured bacterium. RNAcentral's name for it is "partial 16S ribosomal RNA". It matches the Rfam family "Bacterial small subunit ribosomal RNA", at positions 524 to 776 of the family's 1533-position model. The record is from RNAcentral.
UACGAAGGGGGCAAGCGUUGUCCGGAAUCAUUGGGCGUAAAGAGCGUGUAGGCGGCCCGGUAAGUCCGCUGUGAAAGUCCAGGGCUCAACCCUGGGAUGCCGGUGGAUACUGUCGGGCUCGAGUCCGGAAGAGGAGUGUGGAAUUCCUGGUGUAGCGGUGAAAUGCGCAGAUAUCAGGAGGAACACCAAUGGCGAAGGCAGCACUCUGGGACGUGACUGACGCUGAGACGCGAAAGCGUGGGGAGCAAACAGG